RNAcentral lists this long non-coding RNA (2920 nucleotides) under Pelobates cultripes (western spadefoot toad). The record is from RNAcentral. Lineage: Eukaryota; Metazoa; Chordata; Amphibia; Anura; Pelobatidae.
CAAAAGGCCUUAAAGUUUGAUAUUAGCCGUUACAGUCUAACUAAUAUAGUGUUUGGCAAUUGACAUAUCUGAUUUAAGUGUCAAAAUAAUGUGUUUUCCUUUUUUCUUACAGCCUUUGGAAACUGUUGAACAGAGAUAGGAUGCAAUGAAUGGACAACUGGUGGAACUUUGCCCUUUUCAACGUUACAGGGAGUAGCUGACUCAUAUCAUCAGUGGAGGUUACCCUGGGUAUAUUUAUGUGUGUUUUAUAAAAAGUAAGCCAUCUAAAACAUGACACAGUAUAUCAGUUAGGUUGAAUGUUGUUUUAGUUCAUUAUGUGUCAAGUAAUGAAAAAUGCCCAAAAUGAACAUUAACAACCAUAUAAAAAAUUUAAACCACCAUAAAUAUUUGGUAACAUAUAAGGCAAAGUUAUCAACAGCAAUUUAGAUUUAUAGUGCUCUAAAUGAAGUUAUCAAGUUGAAAUCAACGCAAUGCCCCUUAUUUAGCACUUUGUUCUAUAAUUCUGUUUCUCAUCUGUUUUUAAAUAAUAACGGCAUAGAUAUGAAAAGGUAUAGACCUAAGUACUAAGAUAUUACUGAUCCUGGCGAUAAAGAGUCACUGGUUGAUGAGCCGACAGUGAGUGUAGGAACCAUGGGAUAUAGGAUAUCUCUAGAAGCCAGGAGAGGGUUACAUCGACAAAACCAAAAAUGAUUUAACUAAUGAUUUGAUUUAAUUGAGCAGUGAAAUUACAAGGGCCCGAUCUAUAUACCAAAACUGCUUCAUUAAGUUAAAGCUGUUCUGGUGUUUAGUUUAUCCCUUUAAUAUAUUCUUCAAAAGUGGAUCUCUGAUAAUUAUGAAAGGCCGUCCCUGACACACUUUCUUUGGUUCCUACACCGAUUCUUACAGUGCAUUGGCUACAUCAAAAGAAGAAAAACUACCACAACAAGAGGACAUAGUCUUAAAUUAGAGGGGCAAAGGUUUAAAAAUAAUAUCAGGAAGUAUUACUUUACUGAGAGAGUAGUGGAUGCAUGGAAUAGCCUUCCAGCUGAAGUGGUAGAGGUUAACAUAGUACAGGACUUUAAGCAUGAGUGGGAUAGGCAUAAGGCUAUCCUAACUAUAAGAUAAGGCCAGGGACUAAUGAAAGUAUUUAGAAAAUUGGGCAGACUAGAUGGGCCGAAUGGUUCUUAUCUGCUGUCACAUUCCAUGUUUCUAUGUUUCUAACAAACUCUACUGUUGUAGCUACCGCAGCCACUUACUGAAUAGAUCUUUAAUUUGCUGGUAUUAGGAGACCUAGUUACAUACAAAUGAUGCAAUAACUUUUCAACUUUCCCUUUAUUUUAUUUUCCAGGUUUCUAGUGACUUGUAGGUUAAACAUUGUAUAAGACUUGUGCCUCCCAGUUCCAUUGAAGAUUUGUAAACAAGGGAUUACCCAUGUCUUGUAAGACUGUGAUUUCAAAUUCUCUAACGUUUUUUUUAUUUUAUAUCAUUCUUAAGUUUUGUUUUAGACUUCCACACAUACUUCCUUAUAGACUAACUGUCCACACCUAUUUCAUGAAAGGUAGGAGAACAACAUAUUCUUCCCUUUUUGUCUUUAAUAAAAAUGAUCUUACUUCUUUCUGUUACUCUAGAAGACAUCUUUAGGUGAGCUUGGAAAAUUGGGAAAUAUUACUUCUGAUGAAUAUAUACAGAGCUCUAAAUGAGUAAAAUCGUUGUUAGUGGUGAUAUAACCCGAGGGUGGUUCAAGUUAAGUCCUUAAGAGCUGAAGACGAAAUUAGGCUUUUUAGAUAAUUCUGCAUUCACAAACCAUACAACAACCUGUAAGAUGCCUAUUGUUAUUUUGCAAUAAAGAGACAUACCAAUUAGGUGCAAUGAGUUGGUUAGAUUACAGAUUGUUAUGUUUGGUAUUUUUUUUUAAAUUAAUCUUCUUUAGUUUUAUUAACAAAUAACUUUUUUAUUUACUCCAUAAUUUAACUCUUUUUGCCUCACCCUCCAAACCUGCAGGGUAUUACUUUUGCUCCAAAAAUAAUGCUUAACAGGUCAUGCGGUUCCUGAGAACUUGAGUUCCACUGACAAUCCACUAUAACUUCCAGAAACCCUUGCAAUGCCCAGAAAGUGCUGCCUGCGGUGAAAACUGAGUAGUACUACAGAAAAUUAAGUGAGAAUGUUUGGAUUAGCCAGGAGAUCAUGACUAGUGAUGACAUCCAGUGGUGGAUGGGAGCUGUGGCAAAGAGAUUGUCCCGUCAGUGGAUUAGAGCUAAGUAAUAGAUUUUUUUACUAGAAUAGGAUGCUCAGAAUUCCAAACCUACCUUUGAACACUCCUUCAUCAUAUAUAUUUAUUUGUAAUGCUGGAAUGUUUCUAGAGAGUGCAAGCUUGUUUGGCUAGGGCCCUCUUCACCUGCUGUCGCUGCGUGCCAUACAUAUUUUGUCAAAAUUACAUGUUUGUCUUUGUUCCUAUUGGUCAGCAAUGCAGAAUAGGUUAGCACUAUAUAAAUAAUUGUAAUUGUUAAUAUACUAGCUAUUACAUUAGUUGGUUUGAGUAUUUGUCCAAAUCUGCAAUUUUUUACUUCAUUUUGCAGUUUGGUUGUCGGUUAAUAUUAUUAUUAUUAUUAUUAUUAUUAUUAUUGGCAUUUAUAUAGCACCAGCUUAUUACACCGUUCUUUACAAUAUUAUUAAGGUGGGAUUUAACAAGAAGUGAGACACACGAUUACAAUUCUUGAUAGGAACAACAGGUUGAUGAGUACCCUACUUAACAAGCCUACGAUCUAGAGAUGGGUGUUUAAUGUAAAAAAACAAUAAUCAUUUUAUCUUUAUGAAGACAUUACUGUUAGCAGUAUUAUAAGGACAGUGCCUAGACACAGAGACAAAUGGAACAUUUUAAGAGGAUUGUAUUUAUUGCAUUAGAUUGUAUAGAUAACUAGAGUAGAGAGGAGGAGGCUUCCCG